Molecule: ribosomal RNA, 492 nt
Filed under: uncultured bacterium
Lineage: Bacteria
Description: partial 16S ribosomal RNA
Rfam family: Bacterial small subunit ribosomal RNA
Source: RNAcentral
AGUGAACGCUGGCGGUAGGCCUAACACAUGCAAGUCGAACGGCAGCACAGUAAGAGCUUGCUCUUACGGGUGGCGAGUGGCGGACGGGUGAGGAAUACAUCGGAAUCUACUUUUUCGUGGGGGAUAACGUAGGGAAACUUACGCUAAUACCGCAUACGACCUACGGGUGAAAGCAGGGGAUCUUCGGACCUUGCGCGAUUGAAUGAGCCGAUGUCGGAUUAGCUAGUUGGCGGGGUAAAGGCCCACCAAGGCGACGAUCCGUAGCUGGUAUGAGAGGAUGAUCAGCCACACUGGAACUGAGACACGGUCCAGACUCCUACGGGAGGCAGCAGUGGGGAAUAUUGGACAAUGGGCGCAAGCCUGAUCCAGCCAUACCGCGUGGGUGAAGAAGGCCUUCGGGUUGUAAAGCCCUUUUGUUGGGAAAGAAAAGCAGCAGGUUAAUACCCCGCUGUUCUGACGGUACCCAAAGAAUAAGCACCGGCUAACCUCGUG